RNAcentral lists this ribosomal RNA (465 nucleotides) under uncultured bacterium. RNAcentral describes it as "partial 16S ribosomal RNA". It matches the Rfam family "Bacterial small subunit ribosomal RNA", at positions 28 to 507 of the family's 1533-position model. The record is from RNAcentral.
GACGAACGCUGGCGGCGUGCUUAACACAUGCAAGUCGUACGGUAAGGCCCUUGCUGGGGUACACGAGUGGCGAACGGGGGAGUAACACGUGAGUAACCUGCCCACAACUUUGGGAUAACGCUAGUAAACUGGUGCUAGUACUGGAUAUGUGCUCCUGCUGCAUGGUGGGGGGUGGAAAGCCUCGUCGGUUGUGGCUGGACUCGCGGCCUAUCCGCUUGUUGGUGGGGUAGUGGCCUAACAAGGCGGCGGCGAGUAGCCGGCCUGGGUGGGUGACCGGCCACAUUGAGACUGAGAUACGGCCCCGGCUCCUACUGGUAGCAGCGGUAGGGAAUGUUACUCAUUGGGCGCAAGCCUGAUGCAGCAACGCCGCGUGCGGGAUGACGGCCUUCGUGUUGUAAACCGCUUUCAGCAGGGACGAAGCUUUUUGUGACGGUACCUGCAGAAGAAGCACCGGCUAACUACGUG